Molecule: long non-coding RNA, 263 nt
Filed under: Pan troglodytes (chimpanzee)
Lineage: Eukaryota; Metazoa; Chordata; Mammalia; Primates; Hominidae
Description: long non-coding RNA NONPTRT000472
Source: RNAcentral
GACUUCAGUCCCAUUGCUGAAUGAAGGCUUCUAAAGAAACACACACACACACACACGCACACACACACACUCAAACUCACAGAUACCUGUGGGUUCUAUGCUGUUCCAGCCCAGCAGGUCAGGGUGCAGUCGGCUCGCCCCUGAUUGGCCAGCAGCUCCUUCCCUUCCAGACUUGGCCUCCAGGCCCUGCCCUUCUUCUCCAGCUGGUGCCUCCUCAGGCCUUCUGUAUAUGUGCCACAUUUUCUUUAUCCAGUCUAUUAUUG